Molecule: long non-coding RNA, 1081 nt
Filed under: Androctonus crassicauda
Lineage: Eukaryota; Metazoa; Arthropoda; Arachnida; Scorpiones; Buthidae
Source: RNAcentral
AGCACAGCCCUGUGGACAGAGCAUGUGAGCACCGAACGGGUGCAUUACUUGGACAUUGCCAUAGAACAAUGUCAAAGACAGCAGUAUAUGGCAACAAUGUAGCCUAAAGACAGCAGUAUAUAGGAAGCCGUAUUAUGAACCAAUAUUAAUAUCAAGAUGGUCCCUGGAUUUGCUAUUUUAUAAAGCUUCUGCAUUCAAUUUUUAUUUUAAAAGAGCUUACAAAUAUUCCUCGACUACAGAAGAUCUAUAUAAUGAACUUACAUACAUUUAUGAUAUGGGCCAUAAUCAUGGAUACACUGAGCAAUUUUUGCAUAGACUGCACAGUGCUGUGAAGAGAUCGUUGAACUCUGAACACCAAAACAGGAACCAAAUAGCACAGAAUAACAGCUAUAUACCAUUACCCUACAACAUGAAUAAGUCUAAAGUAUUAAGAGACGUAGUAAGGAAGAUAGACAAGAAAGUAACUGCAGUAAGGGCACCAACAUUAUUCAACACUAUACAAUAUGAAAAAGACGUAAGAAAAGACACAGAAAGAUCAGGUGUUUAUGAAUACCAGUAACAUUUUUACCUAGCAAUAAGAAAGUCACAUAUGUAGGAGUAACAAAGAGAACUUUGCAACAAAGGCUGGAUGAACAUAGAAAAGAUAUAGAAAAGGGUAGAACAUCAACUGCAUUAGCAGACCAAGCCUAUGCCAAUAAUAUGCAAAUACAUUGGGACCAAGGCGAAAAUCCUGAAACCAAUUUUAAAACCAUCGCAAGCUUUGACACAAGAAACAAUCGAGAUUUUACAAAGAACUAGAAAACAAGAACUUCUAAGUGAUAGGUCCUCACUCGAACUACCGGCGGCUUGGAAUUACUUAUUAAAGCAACAGAGAUACGUUUAGUAAAAUCGCCGAGAUUAAAAGACGAAGAUGAAGGUGUUUUUAAGACAUUUAAUAAAUCCAGUCGUGCUUAGAUGUCAAAUCCUUGCCUACUUAUGUUAAGCUUUUCUUUUUAUUUAUUUUAUUUUUGUAUAUAUUUAUCCAUUUUAUUAUCCUUAUAAUAUGCGUCUUGUUAUUCUUAUUUGUCCAUUUUAAUUGCAC